AACGAACGCUGGCGGCAUGCCUAACACAUGCAAGUCGAACGAGACCUUCGGGUCUAGUGGCGCACGGGUGCGUAACGCGUGGGAAUCUGCCCUUAGGUUCGGAAUAACUCCCCGAAAGGGGUGCUAAUACCGGAUAAUGUCUUCGGACCAAAGAUUUAUCGCCUUUGGAUGGGCCCGCGUUGGAUUAGCUAGUUGGUAGGGUAAAAGCCUACCAAGGCGACGAUCCAUAGCUGGUCUGAGAGGAUGAUCAGCCACACUGGGACUGAGACACGGCCCAGACGACUACGGGAGGCAGCAGUGGGGAAUAUUGGACAAAGGGCGAAAGUCGGAUCCAUCAAUGCCGCGUGAGUGAUGAAGACCGUAGGGUUGUAAAGCGCUUGUACCCGGGAUGAUAAUGACAGUACCGGGAGAAUAAGCUCCGGCUAACUCCGU
This 432-nucleotide ribosomal RNA is filed under the name uncultured bacterium. RNAcentral's name for it is "partial 16S ribosomal RNA". It matches the Rfam family "Bacterial small subunit ribosomal RNA", at positions 29 to 506 of the family's 1533-position model. The record is from RNAcentral.